AAAUGGCGCCCGGCGGGGCCGCGCCGACAAAAUGGCGGCGGGCGGACAGCGCGGGAAGGGCCUCAGGGCCCCUCGUUCCCCUCCCGUCCCCGUCCCGUUUUGAGGUGUUUUUCCCCUCAUAGCGUGAAGAUUUUUGGGGGUUGCAGCCUUCGCUGUCCUCAGCGCGUGGAAAAUGCGCAAAAAAAAACCCCAAAACAACACCAAAAAAGCCCCGAACAGCCGAGGACUGAAGGAAGGAACUGUCUCCUCACGGCCACCGUUCUGAUUUAGGGCCGUACAGGUGCUCUUUAUUCCCACAUGUCUCUAUAUGUCUCCUUAUCCCAGAGAUGGAUUGCAGAACAAAGCCAUUCACCUAUAAUGCUAAUUACACACAAUUACUCUCACUUUGGCCCGUACGUAUGUUGGAUUUUAUAUAUUUAUUACCUUUGUUUUCCUCCAUUGGCUUUCUACUGUCCUAAGAGCAAGAGGGAAAAAAAAAAAAUUACACGUGCACAGCCAAAAGUAAAAAAAAAAAAGACAAAAAAUAAUAGUAAAGAAAAAGGUAAAAACAAGCAAAAAGCAACCAGUUGCCCAUUUGAUCAGUCCGUGGUGGAGAUUGGUGCCUGGAUGCUUUAUUUGUUCCACAGAGGUGUAGAUUUCCCUUGGGAUGUUGGGGAAAGAUUUCUUAAUUAAAGGAUAAAAAAAAAAAAAAAGAAAAGUAAAAAAUAAAACAGUGAAACAGAACCGAAAAGGAAAAUAAUAUGAAUUCUUAUUGAUUUAAAAAAAAAAAAAAAAAAAGCAGCUGACGCUGGCAAUGCAAUCGGGCAGGCACUGAAUUCAUUGCACCGAAAUGAGGACGGAUGAGCUGAACUGAGUGGCAGGGCUGAGUGCAGCUCCGGGAGGAGGGCUCAGCUCCUCGCCCCACCAUCCAGCGCUGCACACACCACCAUCUGUGUGCUUUUGUGCUUGAUUUCCAGCCCCGCGGGCUGCCCUACGUGAUGCACGGAGCGACGCGGGUGCCCUGGUGCUGUGCGUUCCUCUCCCUUUUAUUGCCUGCUCUAUGCUCGCUUUUUUUCUCCCCCCUCUGCGGGCAGCAGGGUUGCUCGGCUUUCCUCUCCCCAGCUCGGCAGCUGAUUCCAGAAGUUUCUACAGCGGAGGAAAUGCACGGGGGAGGGGAGCACCCACUGCGGAGCUUUGCCGCAGCCGGGCAGGCGUGGAGGAGGAGGAGGAUGCGGAGGAUGCACCACCUCCCUCCCUCCCUCCCUCCCUCCUUGGUUCAGGACGCUUUCCAAGCCUCUCCCCCUCCCUACAUUUCCCCAUCCUUGCAGAGGGUGCUGGGAGGUGUUCGCAAGUUGCUUUUUUUUUUCCUUUUACCCCCGCUCGUCCCUGUCCCCCCCCCCCCAACCCGUUUCCUCCCCCUUUGCUAAAUAAAUUAAAAGCAGAGAUGUCUCCUGAUGGAGAUGGAUGAGGCUGGGCUCACUUGCAUGCACUGUGCCACAGCCCUGAUCUGCUGCUUAGGGCAGAAAUGACCUUUCCCAGGCAGUGGGAGGGAGCUUCUCCCCACCCCGCUAUGCUGCUGCUUGGAAUUCAUCUUACAUAGCAGCCUUAUUAUUUUUUUUAUCCCCCCUCCAAAGAACAGCUUGCUGCUUCGGGAAAUGCAGGGUUGUUUGUGUAAUUCCCACUCUGCAGCAGAUAGCUUCUCUGUGAGUAUUGUAAACAUGCAGCAAGCUGGGCAGUGGGAUCUGGCCUUGCUGAGGAGGGUAAGGCACAGUUCUCUGGUUGUGUGAGUGCUUUACACCUCCACAGAAAGCCACAAUGUUUCUGUGGUUAAUUCUGGAGGGCAUGAGCGGGUCCCAGGGCUUCCCCUUCCCACCCUGUAAUGUUUCACAAAAGAGAAAGCUGCUGCUUCUGGAAGAAGCUCUGCCUUGUGGCCUUAUUUAAAAAAAAAAAAAAAAAGAAGGAGGCUGUGGAUUAGUCAUCAUUAUCGUUAAAGGAGGCUGCGUGUGCUGGUGUGUGUGUGAUGUUAAGCAUUAGUUUAUUUGGGAGGGCUGGUAAUGUGCUCGGGUCGCUGCUCCUGGAGCAGUGCCACCAGGCUCCAUCAAGCUGCUGCUGGCAGGUGGAAAAGCUGACGGGCUGCUGUCGGUCCCCUUCCAUCCCUUUUCCCUUUUCAGUAUCUCUGCACUGCCAGGUGUGGGAAGGAGGAGACCGAAACGACAGCGAGGAGGACAGGCGAGGUUCCAAUGCCAGAGAAGAAACCCUGUGCUUUUCUAUCCUUGCUUUUAUUCUAAGCACAACUGACUGCAUCUUGUCGCCAUGACUUCAAAAUGCAUAGUCCAAGCAGUGAGCAAAGAGAGCAGGCCACGACACCCUGUAGGAAUUGUACUGCUUUUCUCUGUCAGUUUGGAAUAACUGGGUUUCCUUGGGAGUGUUGGACUUCUAUCACCGCAUGCUUUGGAUUGAAGAGUUAACAGAAUGACAUCUGUGAGGCUUCCGAGCUAAACAAAACCUGAAUUUCUGGUGCAAAAAGCAACCUGGAAGACAGAAGCCUUCUGCCUAGAGGAUGAAAUGCUUCAUGUUUGGAAAAAACUAGCAGCAGCUCUGCUCCCCUGCGUUGUGUGGAUGAGAACACCGUGGAGUCUGGCUGGGAGAAGUGCUUGAAAAGAAGUCAGAGAAUGCUGGUACAGCUGAUGCAGGGAUGUUCUGCAUCUCAAAGGGAUGUUCUGGACAGAGUUAACACAUGAAGACUUGGAGCGCUACCCUGUAAGAGGCAAGGACUGAAAUCAAUAGCUUUAUUAAUUCAAAUCCUAUACUUUGUGUUGUUGCUUAGGAUUCAGAAUCAGGCUUCACGUUCAAAGCGUUAUCAGCACAUUAGCCAGUAUCCUCUGUCUUGGCAACACAUGAGCCCAAAUAUCAAAAAGCACCAAUUCCUUUUUGGAGAAAAUUAUCCAUUGCAUAAAACGUAAUGGGUAAGCAAUAAAAUUAGCACAGCAAUUCAGGCUGGCUUAAAAAAUGAGAUAAAAGCUUGGCUGGCAAUUUGAUAUUCAGCUGCCAUACUGUUGUGUUAAUAAAUAUAGUCAAUGAGCAGGAAAGACACGUCAAUAAAUUGCCUCGUGGCAAGAUGUUGGUGGACCUGACCGGCUUGAACAAAGCAGAGCCCUGAGUGUCUGAGGGCUCUUGUCUGAGCAGCACACCAUUUCUCUGCACAAAGCAAAGCAAGCUGGAUGCUUACUGGACACUGAGGGUAAUCGCUGCGUGCUGUGAAUGCGAGUGCUGUAAUCCCUGCAGGUCUGGUCAGGGUGGUGUCCCCAGCAGUGGGGAGCAGAGUAAUGCCUCCCGCCCCACUCCGCAGCUGCAGUGCUACGAGCUCACAAAGCAGAGCCCUCACUGAGCCAGGGCUGAUUGUAGGGAGCUACGGCUUUAGCAAACAGUCCUUGUUGCUGUCCUUGUUCCGUAUCUAAUUCUUUUAGCAAGCUCCACCACUUGGGGUAAGAUAUUGGGUUAGGAAUGUUAUGAACAUUGUGUUGCAUGUUAAAAAUGUAUGAGCAGUGCUGUCGGCUUGCUCUGUAAAGUGCCUUUCUAUUUAUCCACGUUUGCUCCUAGAUGGUAGGCUGCCUCUGGCUGUUGCCUUUGCUUUUGGUAUGAACCCCAAGGAUGUUUUCUGAUCCUCCUGCCCUUUUUUCCUCCAAACUGGAGAGCUGCUAACUUUAUUAGCUCCUUAUAUGGCAGCACUGUUUUUCUCACGCCUUUAAUGGCUCUCUUUUGAUCUGUCCUGCUCCUGCUUUGCUUUUCUUGAUGUGAACACAGUGUGCAAGCUGAGAUGGGUUUAUAACCUGCUCCCUCAUUAAUAUCUGGUCUGGCAUGUUAAUCCUCUCCAAGUGGUGAUAAGAAACAUGCAGAUGUUUUAACAGUGUUUGGCUGCAAUGCCUGCAGAUAGCUGGGUUCUCACUGUACUCACUGUGUGGAUGAGCAAUUAAACAGUGCCCUGCAGAGCUCCAGGCUCUGCCCUAGCGUGUGCUGGUGGCUGAGAGACGCUGGGUGAUGGAGAGCAGCUGGAUGGAGUCUCCUGUUCUGGGCUGUUUGAGUAGGAGGGGUGCAGGAUCAAGUGCUGACCUUUGAUGCUUGCUCCCAAGCUCGUUGCCAGCAGGCUGCACACAGGUCCUCAUGCAGUGACCAGGAUGACACCGGUUGCUGCCACCUCCUGUACUGAGGUCCCUUUGGCCUUCUGAGAUGCAGGUCACACUCUCUCCAAUCUGUGUUCUUUACAAUCUCCAGAUGAGUGAGAGGGAUCUGGUUACAGCAGCACUGCCCAAGCGCGCCUGUGUGUUGCAACUGGGAACAGCUUCCCCCCAAAGCACAGUAAGAGCAUUGGAAUGAUCCAGAGCUUCGUUCUGCAUCACGGACCAGGCUACGCGCUCCUCUUCCAGCUGGCUUUCAUGUAAACAGAGCAUUUUAAGUACUAAUUUCAACUGUUUUUUCUGUCUGCAGGCUUUGUUUCUGACAGUUCCUUGACUGUGGAUGUCCUUCCAGCCAGGCUGCCUGCAGUGUGACAGCUGUGACCCUGCAUGAGGUUUCUUUGAAGGACCUGGGAGACCGUGUGGCUUUUUUUAGUUCCUCAGAGGUGUUUCCAUGGCAGGGAAGGAGGAAAAUGUUUGGAAAUGCUGUCACAGGAGGCAUGCUUACCUGGCUAGGGGAAAACUUGCUGUAGAAAAGCCAGCUGGCGCAUGGUUUGAAGAGGGAUAGGUUCCUUUCUCUCCAAAAUGGAAUCCCUUAAGGAAGGUAUAGACAAGUAGUUCCUACUCUUGAGGUUUCUGACUGGUUAAAACAAGGAGCUGAGCCCAUUUCCAUGCAGAAAUGUGUGGUACAGUGCAUUGCAAUGCUUUUCCUUGCGUGUGCGGGGUCACACGCUUUACUAAUAGAUGGUUUGCAUGCAAGAAGUUAUUGCUUUUUUAUUUCUAAUCAGUCCAUCUCCAUUCAGCAGAGCAGCUUCACACCCACCAUCACGGGGGAAACUGAGGCACAGGGCCACUGUGGGAUUACAGGCAGAGCUGGGGAUAAGGCUCAGGUUUGCGGAGGCUCAGGCUGACGUGCGUCAGAGGGCUGCUUAAAUGGAGAGAUUUGCAAAGGGAGGUGACCUACAGCUCGAUGGCUGGGACUGCUGCUGGACCUGAUCCUUGCGGGUGCCUUCUGACUCAAACCACAGUUUGGUCAGGGGAAGAAUUUGGCAGCACAGUGCCCACGGUGAGAUUUGGUGAGCUCCUCCAGUGCCAGAGCCUGGCCCACAGCCAGCGCACGGGGUUCAUACGGCACUGAACUUUGGAGCCAUUAGAGAUAAACAGCGCUAUAGGCUAAUAAAAGGCUCUGCAUCACAGGGCCCUUGUCUGCUCACGCCACAA
Tympanuchus pallidicinctus (lesser prairie-chicken) is the source of this 5372-nucleotide long non-coding RNA. RefSeq lists it as uncharacterized. Lineage: Eukaryota; Metazoa; Chordata; Aves; Galliformes; Phasianidae. The transcript is spliced from 8 exons. The record is from RefSeq and is a predicted model, not a curated record.